Molecule: ribosomal RNA, 254 nt
Filed under: uncultured bacterium
Lineage: Bacteria
Description: partial 16S ribosomal RNA
Rfam family: Bacterial small subunit ribosomal RNA
Source: RNAcentral
UACGAAGGGGGCUAGCGUUGCUCGGAAUUACUGGGCGUAAAGGGUGCGUAGGCGGGUCUUUAAGUCAGAGGUGAAAUCCUGGAGCUCAACUCCAGAACUGCCUUUGAUACUGAGGAUCUUGAGUUCGGGAGAGGUGAGUGGAACUGCGAGUGUAGAGGUGAAAUUCGUAGAUAUUCGCAAGAACACCAGUGGCGAAGGCGGCUCACUGGCCCGAUACUGACGCUGAGGCACGAAAGCGUGGGGGAGCAAACAGG